This 207-nucleotide ribosomal RNA is filed under the name uncultured bacterium. RNAcentral describes it as "partial 16S ribosomal RNA". It matches the Rfam family "Bacterial small subunit ribosomal RNA", at positions 568 to 774 of the family's 1533-position model. The record is from RNAcentral.
CACGUAGGCGGUAUACCAAGUUAGAUGUGAAAUACCAGGGCUCAACCUUGGGGCGGCAUCUAAGACUGGUGUACUAGAGUUCAUUAGAGGGAAGUGGAAUUUCCGGUGUAGCGGUGAAAUGCGUAGAUAUCGGAAGGAACAUCAGUGGCGAAGGCGACUUUCUGGAAUUGAACUGACGCUGAGGAGCGAAAGCGUGGGUAGCGAACA